ACGGGAGGCAGCAGUGAGGAAUAUUGGACAAUGGAUGGAAGUCUGAUCCAGCCAUGCCGCGUGAAGGAUUGAUGCCCUACGGGUUUUGAACUUCUUUUGUACGGGGGCAAUAAGGGCCACGCGUGGCCCGAUGAGAGUACCGUACGAAUAAGCGUCGGCUAACUCCGUGCCAGCAGCCGCGGUAAUACGGAGGAUGCGAGCGUUAUCCGGAUUUAUUGGGUUUAAAGGGUGCGUAGGCGGGCUAUUAAGUCAGCGGUCAAAUCGUGUUGCUCAACAAUACUUAGCCGUUGAAACUGGUGGUCUUGAGUGUAAAUGAGGUAGGCGGAAUGUGACGUGUAGCGGUGAAAUGCUUAGAUAUGUCACAGAACCCCGAUUGCGAAGGCAGCUUACCAAGAUACAACUGACGCUGAGGCACGACAGCGUGGGUAUCAAACAGGAUUAGAUACCCUGGUA
This 453-nucleotide ribosomal RNA is filed under the name uncultured Porphyromonadaceae bacterium. Its description in RNAcentral is "partial 16S ribosomal RNA". It matches the Rfam family "Bacterial small subunit ribosomal RNA", at positions 341 to 792 of the family's 1533-position model. Lineage: Bacteria; Pseudomonadati; Bacteroidota; Bacteroidia; Bacteroidales; Porphyromonadaceae. The record is from RNAcentral.